CCCUUAGAUGUUCGGGGCUGCACACGCGCUACACUGGAGGAAACAGCGUGUAUUGUCCUGGUCCGAAAGGACUGGGUAAACCUGUGAAACUUCUCCGUGCUUGGGAUAGCGGAUUGAAAUUGUUUCGCUUCAACGAGGAAUACCUUGUAAGCGCGAGUCAUCAUCUCGCGCUGAAUACGUCCCUGCCCUUUGUACACACCGCCCGUCGCUCCUACCGAUUGAGUGGUCCGGUGAGGCUUCGGGAGAGCUAAAUGGAUUGUGUUUCACAAACUAUUUGGCUUGAACUUAGUCAAACCUUACUACUUAGAGGAAGGAGAAGUCGUAACA
This 327-nucleotide ribosomal RNA is filed under the name uncultured eukaryote. RNAcentral's name for it is "partial 18S ribosomal RNA". It matches the Rfam family "Eukaryotic small subunit ribosomal RNA", at positions 1470 to 1796 of the family's 1831-position model. The record is from RNAcentral.